This 416-nucleotide ribosomal RNA is filed under the name uncultured bacterium. RNAcentral's name for it is "bacterial SSU rRNA". It matches the Rfam family "Bacterial small subunit ribosomal RNA", at positions 355 to 787 of the family's 1533-position model. The record is from RNAcentral.
UGGGGAAUAUUGCACAAUGGGGGAAACCCUGAUGCAGCAACGCCGCGUGAAGGAAGACGGUUUUCGGAUUGUAAACUUCUGUUCUUAGUGAAGAAUAAUGACGGUAGCUAAGGAGCAAGCCACGGCUAACUACGUGCCAGCAGCCGCGGUAAUACGUAGGUGGCAAGCGUUGUCCGGAAUUACUGGGUGUAAAGGGAGCGCAGGCGGGAGACCAAGUCAGCUGUGAAAACUACGGGCUUAACCUGUAGACUGCAGUUGAAACUGGUUUUCUUGAGUGAAGUAGAGGUUGGCGGAAUUCCGAGUGUAGCGGUGAAAUGCGUAAAUAUUCGGAGGAACACCGGUGGCGAAGGCGGCCAACUGGGCUUUAACUGACGCUGAGGCUCGAAAGUGUGGGGAGCAAACAGGAUUAGAUACCC